This is a non-coding RNA of Coturnix japonica (Japanese quail), 186 nucleotides long. NCBI's taxonomy places the organism in Eukaryota, Metazoa, Chordata, Aves, Galliformes, Phasianidae. The record is from RefSeq and is a predicted model, not a curated record.
AGUGUCUUUUUCCUCUGAAGCAGCCCACUUCCUCCUACCCCUGCUCACCUUGGUUUAAUCUCAAAGGACUCGUUAUCUUCACACAGACCAAUGGAAGGAAACGUGUGAUAUUGCCAUUGUUAAUCUGGGGACCUAAAGUUGAGCUCAAGGAAAAAGUGAGCACACUACCAGGAAAAGGGCGGAAGA